GAUGAAAACGCAGCGAAAUGCGAUAAGUAAUGUGAAUUGCAGAAUUCAGUGAAUCAUCGAAUCUUUGAACGCACAUUGCGCCCCCUGGUAUUCCGGGGGGCAUGCCUGUUCGAGCGUCAUUUCAACCCUCAAGCUCUGCUUGGUAUUGAGUCCAUGUCAGCAAUGGCAGGCUCCAAAAUCAGUGGCGGCGCCGCUGGGUCCUGAACGUAGUAAUAUCUCUCGUUACAGGUGCUCGGCGUGCUUCUGCCAAAACCCCAAUUUUUCUAUGGUUGACCUCGGAUCAGGUAGGGAUACCCGCUGAACUUAAGCAUAUCAAUAAGCGGAGGA
Molecule: unclassified non-coding RNA, 327 nt
Filed under: soil metagenome
Description: partial contains 5.8S ribosomal RNA, internal transcribed spacer 2, and large subunit ribosomal RNA
Rfam family: 5.8S ribosomal RNA (bases 1-119)
Source: RNAcentral